Molecule: long non-coding RNA, 1846 nt
Filed under: Callithrix jacchus (white-tufted-ear marmoset)
Lineage: Eukaryota; Metazoa; Chordata; Mammalia; Primates; Cebidae
Description: lncRNA (ENSCJAG00000071977.1)
Source: RNAcentral
GUAAUUGCUGAAUGUUCACUAUUAUUAUCACCAUGAAGUACAGAAGAUUUGCUGGAAGUCCUAGGAAAGACCAGAUUCUACCUGAAGCCACUUAACAUCUAGCCCACCAAUGAGUCACAGCACAGGCUAGUAAUUUCUUACUAAAGAAAAGUAGGUUCUAACAAAUCUGUAAGUACCAGUGUCCUCACCAGAAAGCAUUGUUGUGCCUGCUUAAUCUCCUCAUUUGUUCCCAAUAUAUAUUUGGAGCUCAGGGACCAGCUGCUGUGUCAUGAGUAUUAGCUGUCACGAGGUUUAGUGGCAGCAAAUACCCAUGCCAGUCCACUCCCAGAAAGAUCAGAAAAAUGCAAGUACUAUAGGUGAAAACCAGGGGACCCUGAGGCUGGUUCCCUUUUUUUCCUUUUUGAAAGUUGUGUAUUUAUGUUUGGAAUAGUGAUUUGCAGUGGGAAGGCCGGCGAAGCAGUGGAAAUCUGUGUUCAGUGGCUGAUGAGUGGCUUUUGACCACCAUAAUUUUCUUCCUGACAUGUUUGACAAGAGCAUUGUUGUCUUCUUAGCAUCGUGACACUAUCUGGGCAGACACCUGCACAUGCUUGUGAAAACUGGAUGGCAACUGCCCCUUCACACCUGUAAGAGUUGCUUCUCCAUGACAACUCACAGAGCAACCAGAGGUAUUUUUAGUAGAGAUGGGGUUUCACCAUGUUGGCCAGGGUGGUCUCAAUCUCUUGACCUCAUGAUCCGCCUGCCUCAGCCUCCGAAGUGCUGAGAUUACAGGCAUGGGAGUGCUUCUUUAGAAGGGCAUUUAAAGGAUAGGUCAAGAGGCUUUUAAAAGUUGGUUUUGGAUUUUCAAUGCCCCUCCAUCACCAAAAGAAAAAUGAUCUUUCGUUCAGAGAAUUUCACUUUGAAGAGCAGAGGCAAAAGGAGAUUCACAGAGGGGCAGGAGCCGUCAAUGCUGUCUCGUGAGAGGAGAGAAGAGGCAUUAUGUGAUCUAACAUCCUUGAACACGUUUAUUACGAUCUGUCAUCUACAUAGCAACAGACAGGGCCAUGCUCAUAAACCAGAACUGGCACUAGAUCUGUUGACCUGAUGUCUGCAACAGCAAGCUUCUCUUUAUUUCCUUUCAACACUAAAUGAUAUCAGCUGGUCAAUGAAUGUAUCAACGAAGCUUCUUCUGCAAAGAACGUCUUUCUUAUUUUGAUUUCAUUUGACCCCACAAUGGUAAUAUUAGGAGAAGGGGCUGGGUGUGGUGGCUCACACUUCUAAUUUUAGCACUUUGGGAGACUGUGAUGGGAGGAUCACUUGAGCCCAAGAGUUUGAGAUUAGCCUGGACAACAUAGAAAGAACCCCAUCUCUAAAAAAAAAUUAGCUUGGCAUAGUAGGCAUGCCUGUAAUUCCAGCUACUGGGGAGGCUGAGGUGAGAAGAUCACUUGAGUUCAGCAGUUCAAGGCUGCAGUGAGCUAUGCCUAUGACACUGCACUCUAGCCUGGGCAACAGAACGAGUCCCCAUGUCUAAAAAGUGUGUGUGUGUGUGUGUGUGUGUGUGUGUGUAUUAAGAGGUGGCAGAUGUGCUAGACAUUUGGCUCCACUUCACUUCAGAUGGUCUGAAUACCAGCAUCAGUAUCACCUGUAUGACUUUUUGCUAUGGAGAAUCUCAGGUCCCACCCAGACCUACUGAAUCAUAAUCCGCAUUUUAACAAGAACUGAGGUAACUUAUAUAUUAUACAUAUUAAAAGUUUGGAAGCACUGGUUAAAAUAACCAUGGGUUCCACUAGAAAUCAUAACAAGGUAGUUUCCCAAUACUGGUUUCAGCAACCAGUCAAGAUUAUUACAAUUCAAUUUAAGUAGAAAAUGU